This 347-nucleotide ribosomal RNA is filed under the name uncultured bacterium. RNAcentral's name for it is "bacterial SSU rRNA". It matches the Rfam family "Bacterial small subunit ribosomal RNA", at positions 8 to 334 of the family's 1533-position model. The record is from RNAcentral.
AGGGUUUGAUUAUGGCUCAGGACGAACGCUGGCGGCGCGCCUAACACAUGCAAGUCGAACGGAGUUAUAUUGGCAGAAGUUUUCGGACGGACGCGGAUAUAACUUAGUGGCGAACGGGUGAGUAACACGUGAGCAACCUACCCUUCAGAGGGGGACAACAGUUGGAAACGACUGCUAAUACCGCAUAAGACCACGGUGUGGCAUCACACAGAGGUCAAAGGAGAAAUCCGCUGAAGGAUGGGCUCGCGUCCAAUUAGCUAGAUGGUGAGGUAACGGCCCACCAUGGCGACGAUUGGUAGCCGGACUGAGAGGUUGAUCGGCCACAUUGGGACUGAGACACGGCCCAG